AACGAACGCUGGCGGCAUGCCUAACACAUGCAAGUCGAACGAGACCUUCGGGUCUAGUGGCGCACGGGUGCGUAACGCGUGGGAACCUGCCCUUAGGUUCGGAAUAACUCUCCGAAAGGGGUGCUAAUACCGGAUAAUGUCUUCGGACCAAAGAUUUAUCGCCUUUGGAUGGGCCCGAGUUGGAUUAGCUAGUUGGUAGGGUAAAAGCCUACCAAGGCGACGAUCCAUAGCUGGUCUGAGAGGAUGAUCAGCAACACUGGGACUGGGACACGGCCCAGACUCCUACGGAAGGCAGCAGUGCGGAAGAUGGAAAAUGGGCGAAAGCCUGAACCAGCAAUGACGGGUGAGUGAUGAAGGCCUUAGAGUUGUAAAGCUCUUUUACCCGGUAUGAUAAUGACAGUACCGGGAGAAUAAGCCCCGGCUAACUACGUG
RNAcentral lists this ribosomal RNA (432 nucleotides) under uncultured bacterium. RNAcentral describes it as "partial 16S ribosomal RNA". It matches the Rfam family "Bacterial small subunit ribosomal RNA", at positions 29 to 507 of the family's 1533-position model. The record is from RNAcentral.